Molecule: ribosomal RNA, 424 nt
Filed under: uncultured bacterium
Lineage: Bacteria
Description: bacterial SSU rRNA
Rfam family: Bacterial small subunit ribosomal RNA
Source: RNAcentral
UGGGGAAUUUUGCGCAAUGGGGGAAACCCUGACGCAGCAACGCCGCGUGGAGGAUGAAGUCCCUUGGGACGUAAACUCCUUUCGACCGGGAAGAUACUGACGGUACCGGAUGAAGAAGCACCGGCUAACUCUGUGCCAGCAGCCGCGGUAAUACAGAGGGUGCGAGCGUUGUUCGGAAUUAUUGGGCGUAAAGGGCGCGUAGGCGGCGCGGUAUGUCACCUGUGAAAUCUCCUGGCUCAACUGGGAGCUUGCAGGCGAAACUGCCGUGCUGGAGUGUGGGAGAGGUGCGUGGAAUUCCUGGUGUAGCGGUGAAAUGCGUAGAUAUCAGGAGGAACACCUGUGGCGAAAGCGGCGCACUGGACCACAACUGACGCUGAGGCGCGAAAGCUAGGGGAGCAAACAGGAUUAGAUACCCCCGUAGUCC